CUUGGAGCAGGGCAGAGCCAUAUGCUGGGCUCUGGCCACAGGCUGAGAGAGGAAGUGACUCCAAGGCUGAGGAAUGAGCCCAGGAAGUUGACCUUUGAAGCACUCUCCUGCUCUUGGGGCCAUGUCAUCAGGAAGAAACUCCAGGCUGAAAACACAACUGCAAGGCCAACAGGCAGGGGAGCAGCUUUCUCAGGACACCUGAGGUCCUGCCCCACCAGGCUCUGGUCUUUACACACCAUCUCUCACUGUCCUCUAGCCCCAACUGCACAUUGCCUUCCUCCUUCCUGAGCUCAUGCUUGCCCCUCCCUCGGCAUCUCCCUAGCCCCAGCCUGAAGGCUGACCUCCUCCAGAAAGCCUCUCCCUCACCACGAGGCCAGAAAGAGUCUGUCCUGUCUCUAGCUUCUGAGUUUCUUAGUCCCAACGACUGUCCCUGCUCCACUGACACCUUCCAUACACAGCUUUGUGAGCUGUGCGCAUCUGUGGGUACCAGAGGGUCACUGGUGACACCCUGCUCAGCCACAGCACCAGAGAGGAGAGAAAACACCACAACAGUCUUCAUAGAACUAAAAGACUUCCUAGAGCGCGCUUGCCCUUUGUUUCUAUAGCUGCUGCUACGUGGAUAAGAGUCACUAGUUCAGCUCAUAUUCAGGACCAACAGAACACUUCCAAAGGUGGCUCACCUCAGAGACUGGGACUCCAGAGGUCAGCGUGCCUCUGUCUAGCUGUGCUUUCUAGUGAACACGUUACUUCACCUCCCCUGGGCUCAGUCUUGUCACUUUGGCAAUGAGGGCAUUUGGCGGCAUUCUCUGAAGCCACCCUACCCCCUUCAAUGGUCUGGAACCUUAGCAGCACAUUUGAAUCAUCUGAGGAGCUUUUUUAAAAUACCACGGCCUGGGCUCUGCCCCGAGAGGUUCUGAUCUAAUUGGUCUGGGAUAGAACCUCAGGUGGUUCUCAUGUGCGGGCAAGCUGGAGGACCCCUACACUAGUUGUUAUGAGGAUUUUAUUCAGCAAACAUCAAACCCCACAUGGAGUGGUCCAGG
This 1040-nucleotide long non-coding RNA is filed under the name Homo sapiens (human). Its description in RNAcentral is "HSALNT0302218". The record is from RNAcentral. Lineage: Eukaryota; Metazoa; Chordata; Mammalia; Primates; Hominidae.